RNAcentral lists this ribosomal RNA (482 nucleotides) under uncultured bacterium. RNAcentral describes it as "partial 16S ribosomal RNA". It matches the Rfam family "Bacterial small subunit ribosomal RNA", at positions 30 to 507 of the family's 1533-position model. The record is from RNAcentral.
AUUGAACGCUGGCGGCAUGCCUUACACAUGCAAGUCGAACGGUAACGGGCCUUCGGGUGCCGACGAGUGGCGAACGGGGGCGUAAUACAACGGAACGUGCCCGAUCGUGGGGGAUAACGAGGCGAAAGCUUUGCUAAUACCGCAUACGAUCUACGGAUGAGAGCAGGGGACCGCAAGGCCUUACGCGGACGGAGCGGCCGAUGGCAGAUUAGGUAGUUGGUGGGAUAAAAGCUUACCAAGCCGACGAUCUGUAGCUGGUCUGAGAGGAUGAUCAGCCACACUGGGACUGAGACACGGCCCAGACUCCUACGGGAGGCAGCAGUGGGGAAUUUUGGACAAUGGGCGCAAGCCUGAUCCAGCCAUGCCGCGUGCAGGAUGAAGGCCUUCGGGUUGUAAACUGCUUUUGUACGGAACGAAAAGCCUUCUUUGAAUACAGGAGGGUCAUGACGGUACCGUAAGAAUAAGCACCGGCUAACUACGUG